CCCCUCUCAGGAUCACACUUGAAAAGUUUCCAGUAUUCUACCAGUCUUGGCCAUAGGAGGGAGAGUCAAGCAGAGCCAUAUCCAUUCCAUUCCUAGCCUGAGCAGUGGGUAGCGAGUGGAAGACCAUCUGCUACAUGA
Molecule: non-coding RNA, 138 nt
Organism: Ornithorhynchus anatinus (platypus)
Lineage: Eukaryota; Metazoa; Chordata; Mammalia; Monotremata; Ornithorhynchidae
Source: Rfam